RNAcentral lists this ribosomal RNA (463 nucleotides) under uncultured Methanosaeta sp. Its description in RNAcentral is "bacterial SSU rRNA". It matches the Rfam family "Archaeal small subunit ribosomal RNA", at positions 875 to 1338 of the family's 1478-position model. Lineage: Archaea; Methanobacteriati; Methanobacteriota; Methanomicrobia; Methanotrichales; Methanotrichaceae. The record is from RNAcentral.
AGCACCACAACGGGUGGAGCUUGCGGUUUAAUUGGAUUCAACGCCGGAAAUCUUACCGGGACCGACAGCAAUAUGAAGGCCAGGCUGAAGACUUUGCCGGAUUAGCUGAGAGGUGGUGCAUGGCCGUCGUCAGUUCGUACUGUGAAGCAUCCUGUUAAGUCAGGCAACGAGCGAGACCCACGCCCACAGUUGCCAGCGUACUCUCCGGAGUGACGGGUACACUGUGGGACCGCCGCUGCUAAAGCGGAGGAAGGAAUGGGCAACGGUAGGUCAGUAUGCCCCGAAUAUCCCGGGCUACACGCGAGCUACAAUGGUUGGUACAAUGGGUAUCUACCCCGAAAGGGGACGGGAAUCUCCUAAAACCAAUCUUAGUUCGGAUUGAGGGCUGCAACUCGCCCUCAUGAAGCUGGAAUCCGUAGUAAUCGCGUUUCAACAGAACGCGGUGAAUACGUCCCUGCUCCUU